UACAGAGGGUGCGAGCGUUAAUCGGAAUUACUGGGCGUAAAGCGCGCGUAGACGGUUUGGUAAGUCAGAUGUGAAAUCCCCGGGCUCAACCUGGGAACUGCAUUUGAUACUGCCUGGCUAGAGUAUCGAAGAGGGAAGUGGAAUUUCCGGUGUAGCGGUGAAAUGCGUAGAUAUCGGAAGGAACACCAGUGGCGAAAGCGACUUCCUGGUCGAAUACUGACGUUCAUGUGCGAAAGCGUGGGGAGCAAACAGG
Molecule: ribosomal RNA, 253 nt
Filed under: uncultured bacterium
Lineage: Bacteria
Description: partial 16S ribosomal RNA
Rfam family: Bacterial small subunit ribosomal RNA
Source: RNAcentral